AAGAACUUAGCUUAAUUAAAGUUAUUGAUUUCCGUUCAGUUGAUGCAGAAUAAAGUUUUGCAGUCCUUA
Callithrix jacchus (white-tufted-ear marmoset) is the source of this 69-nucleotide non-coding RNA. The record is from Rfam. NCBI's taxonomy places the organism in Eukaryota, Metazoa, Chordata, Mammalia, Primates, Cebidae.